UGUGAAUGGAAAGGUUUAGAAUUUUCUUCAAUUAUCCACCUAAAUGGUUAAUCGUGAACGGAUUUUUAUUUUUAUUUUUUUUAAAUAGUCUUGUAUUUGUUAUCGUUUAUACUUCAACCUGCAUAAGUUAGUAUCAUAGCUGAGUUUAUGCUCCUAACAAUGGAUCAAUGAGGACAAGUUACAUGUUGUGGUUCCAUGGUUGAUUAUAGGAGUUGUAGAGAUGAGCUAAUGAAAAUCAGUCUCUUGAUGUCGAGGCAAAAAAGGUGGCAAGAUUGGUUAUCCCCAGAUGGUGGGUGACCUUUAUGGCGAUAGGCUAGAGGGAAGUGGCGGUGAGCAUGACAUGCAUGUUGUGACUGCCUGAGGCUAGUCUAAUGGUGGGUUUAGUCCCGAAGCUACCUGUGGAUAGGGUUGCAAAUGGAAACUCAAAGAUGGAUAGUGUUCCGGUGGUUGAGUGCUUGAUGUUGUAGGAUUGACUAGCAGCCCCUGUAAAGACUGUGUUUCAAAUUAUUGUACGGAUGUUAAGAUGGAGUUAAGACACAAAUUCAUCAAUCUUUCAUGAAGAACUCAUGUCUAGAUUCUCAAGAAGAAAUUUGAGAAACUCGAUAUCGAUGAACAUAAAAAUUCUCAAUGUCAGGUGAUGACCACCACAGAUCAUGGCAGUUGGUAACUUGAAACGACGAUGAUGCAAAUGAAAUAUUUAACACUUGAAUGGUUGGUUUUCAAUAGAAGGCCACAUGGCUGAACGAGUCUUAGAAUCAAAUACAUUUCGUGAAACAUUUGAAACUUACAAUUUUGCAAUACAGUAACUACGGAUGUUUGGGUGAUUCUGUUGGGAUUCAAUGAAAAUUUUUAAUAGUCACUCAGGUUUUGAAUUAAGAUAUAUGGGAUAAUAUUUAUGUCAUUGACGUAUUAUGAUAACACGCCCCAAGAUUUGAGGACGAAUUUUCUCCAACUAAAGGAGAAUGAUGCAAGUAGACCCCGUAGAAUAUAUAUAUACACACACACACACACACAUAUAUACACCUUUGUUUGAGUCACAUUAUUUCGAUAAGAAUGCAUUUUUGAAUAGUGUAUUGAUAGAAAAUGUAUAGUUAAAAAAUGAGGAAAUUUUUUGAAUUUAAGUGUAAUAUUAUUUUAUUGAAAAAUGUGUGAUUGAAAUGAUUUCAAAUCAUUGUUUAAUAAUGUCUCUUUU
Molecule: long non-coding RNA, 1192 nt
Filed under: Olea europaea subsp. europaea
Lineage: Eukaryota; Viridiplantae; Streptophyta; Magnoliopsida; Lamiales; Oleaceae
Source: RNAcentral